Molecule: ribosomal RNA, 253 nt
Filed under: uncultured bacterium
Lineage: Bacteria
Description: partial 16S ribosomal RNA
Rfam family: Bacterial small subunit ribosomal RNA
Source: RNAcentral
GACGGCGGAGGCAAGCGUUAUCCGGAAUUAUUGGGCGUAAAGCGUCCGCAGGUGGCGAUUCAAGUCUGCUGUCAAAGGUCGGGGCUUAACCCCGGGAAGGCAGUGGAAACUGAAUAGCUAGAGAGCGGUAGGGGCAGAGGGAAUUCCCGGUGUAGCGGUGAAAUGCGUAGAGAUCGGGAAGUACACCAGUGGCGAAAGCGCUCUGCUGGGCCUGCACUGACACUGAGUGACGAAAGCUAGGGGUGCGAAAGGG